Molecule: ribosomal RNA, 459 nt
Filed under: uncultured bacterium
Lineage: Bacteria
Description: partial 16S ribosomal RNA
Rfam family: Bacterial small subunit ribosomal RNA
Source: RNAcentral
CCUACGGGUGGCAGCAGUGAGGAAUAUUGGUCAAUGGCCGAGAGCCUGAACCAGCCAAGUCGCGUGAGGGAAGACGGCCCUACGGGUUGUAAACCUCUUUUGUCGGGGAGCAAAGCGAGUCACGUGUGACUCAUUGAGAGUACCCGAAGAAAAAGCAUCGGCUAACUCCGUGCCAGCAGCCGCGGUAAUACGGAGGAUGCGAGCGUUAUCCGGAUUUAUUGGGUUUAAGGGGUGCGCAGGCGGAGGUGCAAGUCAGCGGUCAAAUUGCGGGGCUCAACCCCGUACUGCCGUUGAAACUGCAUCCCUUGAGUGCGCGAGAAGUAUGCGGAAUGCGUGGUGUAGCGGUGAAAUGCAUAGAGAUCACGCAGAACUCCGAUUGCGAAGGCAGCAUACCGGCGCGCAACUGACGCUCAUGCACGAAAGCGUGGGUAUCGAACAGGAUUAGAUACCCGUGUAGUC